Molecule: ribosomal RNA, 278 nt
Filed under: uncultured bacterium
Lineage: Bacteria
Description: partial 16S ribosomal RNA
Rfam family: Bacterial small subunit ribosomal RNA
Source: RNAcentral
UGCCAGCAGCCGCGGUAAUACGUAGGUCCCGAGCGUUGUCCGGAUUUAUUGGGCGUAAAGCGAGCGCAGGUGGUUUAUUAAGUCUGGUGUAAAAGGCAGUGGCUCAACCAUUGUAUGCAUUGGAAACUGGUAGACUUGAGUGCAGGAGAGGAGAGUGGAAUUCCAUGUGUAGCGGUGAAAUGCGUAGAUAUAUGGAGGAACACCGGUGGCGAAAGCGGCUCUCUGGCCUGUAACUGACACUGAGGCUCGAAAGCGUGGGGAGCAAACAGGAUUAGAUA